GUUGCAGAGCAACAAGUUUCUAGGCUUUGUGUGGAAGCACAAGAAUGCAUGGUGAUGGGCAGAUGGUUGGACUUGGCAUCUUUAAUGCUCACUUCAGCUGACUUGAUAUUCUCCAACUCUAAGGUGUCAGAGAAAGAUCUUGAGUGUAUCUUCACUGUUAUAUGUGAUCUUGUCUCCAAGUUGGAAAGUCCAGAUGAAGCACUUGAGAUGGCAAAACUCAUAUGCGGAAAAAUUAUUCAGCAGCCAACUGACAAGCCUGCAUUGCGAUUGAAGAUCUUGUUCAAUCUGUACAAUCUGCUGGAGAACACAUACAGCCGGUUCUAUGUUUACAUGAAGGCUCUGAAUUUGGCAGUGAGCGGAAAAGUUACAGAGCAUGUCAUACCUUCUUUCAAAAAGAUUGAUAGUUUCUUGAAAGAGUGGAAUCUUGAGGUGAAGGAUCAGAGGGAUCUUUUUCUUGGAAUUUCUAAUGUACUGAGAGAGAGUAAGAGCUCAGGAAAGGAUUCUUUCAAAUUCCUGACCAAGUAUUUAGCAACCUUUUCUGGGGAGGAUGCAUAUGCAAUGGGUGAAGCCAAGGAGGAAGCUGUGCGCACAAUUAUCGAAUUUGUCAAGGCACCUGACAUAUUUCAGUGUGACCUGCUAGAUAUGCCUGCUGUGGGGCAGUUGGAAAAGGACGCUAAGCAUGCAUUGGUAUAUCAGCUUUUGAAUAUCUUUCUGACGCAGAGGCUAGAUGCCUAUUUAGAGUUUCAGGCUGCAAAUUCUACUUUGCUGAAAAGCUAUGGUCUUGUUCAU
RNAcentral lists this unclassified non-coding RNA (789 nucleotides) under Hevea brasiliensis (rubber tree). Lineage: Eukaryota; Viridiplantae; Streptophyta; Magnoliopsida; Malpighiales; Euphorbiaceae. The record is from RNAcentral.